RNAcentral lists this long non-coding RNA (1347 nucleotides) under Phasianus colchicus (ring-necked pheasant). Its description in RNAcentral is "lncRNA (ENSPCLG00000019940.1)". Lineage: Eukaryota; Metazoa; Chordata; Aves; Galliformes; Phasianidae. The record is from RNAcentral.
GUUUUUUCUUGUUAACUUGUUCUUUUCAGGCUCAAAUGAAUUAGGGGGCUUGCUAGCUUCCUUCUUCAGCUCAGCUGUUCAUGGCCUGCAUGCAUGUUGGCAUUUUGAAGCAUACUGUAUCACUUCCUCUCCUGAUCAAAAUAAGGAUUGCUUUCUCUUCUCUCCUUCCAGUGGAGUUUGUGUUCCUCUCUUGGCUGAACUGGUGGCUGAGAAAAGUGAGACAAAACAGGCAGUCCUCAAGAUCUGGCUCCUCUGCUGCAGAUCACUCCUCAGAUGAAAUGUUCUGGAGAUCAAAAAUCCUGAAGGAAAGUCCUGUAAUGAAGUCAUUUGGCAUUUGUGGAAUGUGAUGAGUGGAGAAUGUUUCUUCAGAGGCAUUUCAUCUAUGCUAGUUCUGCACAGUGUGUUUUGAGGAUCUUUAAAGGCAAGACCUGGGUAUUACAGUGAAGAUUUAUUAUUACUAUUCUUUUCAACAGAAUCCUGCGGAGUUAGAAAACCCUUAGAGUCUGUGUUUGUUAGAAAUGUAACUUCAUGUCUCAAAGCUAGCCGUGUUUUAGCCUAGAGCAUAUUGCAGGUCUGGUUUCACCUGAAAGGCAUUGUUUAAAUCUCCACAAAAAAAGAAAAACAAAACCCAACCAACUGUGAGCAUGGUAUUGAGAAGACAAAAAGCAUAACAAAACCUAAUAGACGUGGGAUCAGAAAAUCAUUUUAACACUGUACUUGGGAACAUCCCUUCAGCUCUGUCCCCUCUAGAUUCAACCUAAAUAUCCAGUCUGAAAACCUGUAGUUUAUCAUUAGAAGAAAACAACCUGGGACACUCAGUAGAAGCCAGGCAAUUAGUAAUUACAUAUUUCUAUUGUUCUGCAGAUGUUUGUCCAUGCAGAAUGAAAGCUAACAAUUAUAAACUCAAUUUUAGAUUCAGCGUAUUUCAUUCGCAAUGUUUGUUUAACUAAAAGACCUGCCAUAUCCAACGGCAAAAUUAAUUUAGCUCAAUUAGAAAUGAUUUUCUGAGUAUAUACUAAUACCAGUGUUAUUUUGUACCUUUCUCUGAUAGUGAUUGAACUUGCUAUAUUAUUUUUAGUUGUCUGAUCAUUAAAGCUCUGUAAAAAUGACAUUUGAAGAAGCAUGACAGCUUCUGCCUCCCCUUGCCCCAUCCCAUCUCAAAGCAGACACUCAUACAGCCUUCGUAUUAUAGGGUGCUGCUUCACAAAAUAGAAGUCACUCUGAUCUGAUAUUUUCAUUUUCCUAGGGAUUAUAAGGUAAUCGCGUGUUAUUAUGUCAUAUAUUAUUCCCUUAUUCUCUUGUCUGCUUUAUGCCAAGGACUUUUUCCUUCUCUAACAAGAAAGCUGA